RNAcentral lists this unclassified non-coding RNA (328 nucleotides) under Hevea brasiliensis (rubber tree). The record is from RNAcentral. Lineage: Eukaryota; Viridiplantae; Streptophyta; Magnoliopsida; Malpighiales; Euphorbiaceae.
GCUCAACUCGCGUCUUCACUAUUUUUAUAUAAAAACAAGUUUCUCAAAACUGUUGGAACUAAUAAGUGUACAUACAAACAACAACAUGAAGAGGCUACAAAAUACAUCAAACUUUAUAGUAAAACAUUCUUAGAAGUCCAAAAAUCACUAGUAAAUUCCUGGGAUAACUCUGUAAGGAACCUUUUCACAAUACAAUUUCCAGUACUUGCCAUACUUUGCCUUGCAUCGGUCAUCGUCCCUUUUAGCUCGAUCGAGAAGGAGGAUUAUUAGAAAGAUGACGUAGAAGUAGGGAAUGAAGUGGUUGAAAAGAGCUGGUACACUCCAGAAA